GUUGAUAUCCUCUGAUUUUCUAAUACUGUCACAUAAUGGUACGAUAUCAUUUGUUGCAAUUCAUAAUCAUUUCAUCAAUAAUUCAAAUUUAGUAAACCACAUUUAGUCACGAUAUCAACUCAUGCAUUUAACACCCCAAAUAUUUCAUCAAUUGCAUAAUAUUGUAUCUGCGGGACAUAAUAUAAUAUUUAUUUAAUCAAAAUCUAUUAUAUCCAAAUAUUAUACUAUUCUUUAUAUAGAACCAUCCUUCAUGGAUAUUAUAUCAUCUAGGAUAAACUCAUGAUUUGAAUAUUAUUCUACUAUAUCACUCUUCUGGAAUGUAAUCAAGUGUUUAAACACACAACAUUGAUUUUAUAGACCUCGCUCAAUAUUAUAUUUAUGAAAAAUAUGAUCAAUAUCCAUUAGAAAUUUCACAAAAAUUAAACACAACGUCAAUGUGUGAUGAUAAAAGAAUUUUAUUAUAUAGAGACAACUUCUAGUUGUUAUUACGUGCAACUUCUGGGUGCAAUUAUAUACAAUCAAUCUAUUAAAAACAACGUCAAAUAGGUGUUGUCGAUAAUACCAACAUCAUGUAGCUCAAGUGAGAUAAAAAAAAAAAAAUCACUUUUACAAAUGUUAAGUUUUAAAUCAAUUUUAAAUUUAAAGACAUGGAGUGAUAUUAACAUUCUAUCAACAUCAAGAAUAUCACAUAGAGAUCACAUAAUAUCACUUAUUUGAAGCAUGAAUAUGUAAUAUAUUUAAUAUGUGAGCAAGACAUAAUGUGUGCCCAUAAGCCAUCUCUUCCAAACCAUAAUAUAUAAAGUUUUGACUAUCUCAAAAUUUGGGAUGUCCUCUAAGAAGAAAGAUUAAAUAUGGACAAGUAAGGAUCCGUGUAUCAUAUAUUAAUCCGAGAUACAUAGACAAAGACUAGAGGUAAGGUCAUACAUAAUGUACAUAGAUAAGAAUGAUAUAGAAUUUUUAUCUCUCUCAUAGAAAAAUUAGCCAAGUCAUUAAUAAAGCUUACUAUCAAUUUAAACUCAUAUGAAAUAGAUAAUGACUUGAGAAAAAUCAAUUUUAGGAUAAAGUGGAGCACAUAUGACUCAUGACCUUUUAAAGAUUAAGACGACUUACUAUAUAUUAAUCAUGUACAAUUUAUGGAUUAGAGAGACAUUAAUAAAUUAUGAUUUCUUUUUUAUGGAUUCAUAAUAAAUUGAUCACAUGUACACAAAUAUAAAUUUUUCAUAUAUCCUAUUUGUCAAAUUAAAAAUAAUGUAGUGUACGAGAAAGAGAACGCAAGUGAGAAUCAUCACAUGAAUUCUACACAUAUUUUGAGAGUGACAUAAUAUAUAAAUCUAUAGUAAUCCACCGAAGGUAAUCAUCAAAAUUAUAUAUAAUGAUCACUGAAAAUAUAAUAUGGCAGAAAAAAUAGCAACAUGGUUUUCAUUAGUAAAAAAAAACAAGUAUCUCACACAUAUUCAGAUUCCAAGAGAGCCGAGAACAGAGAUCCAAAAUAUUUCAUCCAAUUCCAAAAGGGUCCAAAAUAGUUUAUUGAAAUCCAAAGAAUUAUUCAAAUCCAAAAGAGUCAAAAUAAUUUACUCAAAUCCAAAAAUAUCCAAAUAAUGUGUUUAAAUCCAUAAGAGACUAAAGCAUAUCCAUAUCAGUCUAUACUAACUCCAAAAACUAUAAACAUCCACAUUCGAUUCGAUUUAUGGUUCCAUUUCAUUUGGACAAGACAUAAUAUAUCUAAAUUUCAAUAUUUUUCAUUACUUUUAUUUUCUCAAAAUUUUCAUGUAUAUAAUCUCUUCCAGAGAUCCUUCAAUGUCAUGUCUAUAAUCUCUUCCGGAGAUCCUUCAUUUCUCAAUCUAGCCAUCAUCAAUUAUUGCUCCUUUUCAUUUUUUUUUUGUAUAAGAUAUGGAACCAACUUGCCUAUCACGCUUCAGGCGUUCUUUAGACAUAGUAGUAUCUUGAGGUUGUCCUUCUGCGACAUUUAAAUCAUAGGAGCAUAUGUAGCCGGUGUCCAUGACAUAUAUUUUCUGGUCAUCAAAAUGAAUUAUCUUAUGAACUUCUGGUUCAUAUUCUUUGUUUUGAGGAUCAAGAUGAGGCAAUGAUAACUCAUUCUCAUAUUUCUACUUUCACCGGCUAUUUAUUUUCUCCCCCUGAUUUUGGGAAAACAAACUCAUUAUAUCAAGUCACAACAAAUACAUAUUGAUGAUUCCAAAUGCACUCAUAUGUAAUAUAUAUCCAAUUGAGGAAUCGAUCUUACUAAUGUGGUGGAAAAUCUGUGAUGACCAAAAAAUUUAUUUAAAUGGGGAGAGAUUAUGAAAAUUUUGUUUAUAUGAUGAUGCGAAUCGAUAAAUAUGUGAUACAAAAUAAUCACUAAUUUGAGAUAAUACUCAUUAUGAGAUGCACCAGCAUUAUAAACAUAUAUUUUAAAUAAUGAAUCUCGCAUACGUCAGGCUGCGAGUUGAUAAUACUUUUGUAUACAACCAUAUAUUUCACAAAAUAUCUCACUGUUCAACAAUAUGAUAUUUUCAUCUCAUGCCAUAUCUUCAUUAAUUUAUUCUCAAAGAUGAUAAAUCACAAUUAUAUCUUUGCUGGUGAUCAAUUUUCCUUUAUAAGCAAAUAAUAUAUGUACCACUGAGAAGAAGAAUCUACAGGUUCUUCAACAAAAGUGCAUAUAAAAUUACUAUUCGCAUCUUUAACAAAUUAAGGUGGCUUAGCUAGUCAGGCCAAACUGUAAACUUAUAAGUAAACUUCUGGUUUACUUCAAAAUCAAUUUCAAUUAUGCUUAUUAUAAAUUAGUGGAGAAUCUUUAUCCAAAAUACUUUUAGUGUCAUGAAUUAGACUCACUAUUUAAAGGCCUUAAUAUCUCAAUGCGAUAAAUUAUAUAAAUUUUAUUCUUCAAUUUUCUUGGGAGAGAAUAAUUGCAUCAAUACUUUACAUGCUCUUCUGGAGUAAAAUGUACUUCUGAGAGUAGAUAAAAAUAUACAUGCUCUUCGAGAGCCUUAUGCAUGCUCUUCCGGAGCUUUAUACUUUCUCUUCCCGAAUCUUAUAUUUAGAAAAACUAUAAUGAGGCAUCCUAUAUAAUCCUCCCCUUUGGAUGACUCAUUUUAGAUAUGAAAUAUUGAUACUAGUCAUCUUUAUAUCAAUCAAGAGAAAUAUUCCUUAUACACAUAAUAAGAAUAUGACUUAGAGAAUUUGUAAUGUCAUGACCAUUGCUACUAUCAUGGUUGAUAUCCUCUGAUUUUCUAAUACUGUCACAUAAUGGUACGAUAUCAUUUGUUGCAAUUCAUAAUCAUUUCAUCAAUAAUUCAAAUUUAGUAAACCACAUUUAGUCACGAUAUCAACUCAUGCAUUUAACACCCCAAAUAUUUCAUCAAUUGCAUAAUAUUGUAUCUGCGGGACAUAAUAUAAUAUUUAUUUAAUCAAAAUCUAUUAUAUCCAAAUAUUAUACUAUUCUUUAUAUAGAACCAUCCUUCAGGGAUAUUAUAUCAUCUAGGAUAAACUCAUGAUUUGAAUAUUAUUCUACUAUAUCACUCUUCUGGAAUGUAAUCAAGUGUUUAAACACACAACAUUGAUUUUAUAGACCUCGCUCAAUAUUAUAUUUAUGAAAAAUAUGAUCAAUAUCCAUUAGAAAUUUCACUAAAAUUAAACACAACGUCAAUGUGUGAUGAUAAAAGAAUUUUAUUAUAUAGAGACAACUUCUAGUUGUUAUUACGUGCAACUUCUGGGUGUAAUUAUAUACAAUCAAUCUAUUAAAAACAACAUCAAAUAGGUGUUGUCGAUAAUACCAACAUCAUGUAGCUCAAGUGAAAAAAAAAAAAAUCACUUUUACAAAUGUUAAGUUUUAAAUCAAUUUUAAAUUUAAAGACAUGGAGUGAUAUUAACAUUCUAUCAACAUCAAGAAUAUCACAUAGAGAUCACAUAAUAUCACUUAUUUGAAGCAUGAAUAUGUAAUAUAUUUAAUAUGUGAGCAAG
This 3957-nucleotide long non-coding RNA is filed under the name Daucus carota (carrot). Its description in RNAcentral is "long non-coding RNA (DCAR_LNC004330)". The record is from RNAcentral. Lineage: Eukaryota; Viridiplantae; Streptophyta; Magnoliopsida; Apiales; Apiaceae.